This 1535-nucleotide long non-coding RNA is filed under the name Betta splendens (Siamese fighting fish). RNAcentral's name for it is "lncRNA (ENSBSLG00000003666.1)". Lineage: Eukaryota; Metazoa; Chordata; Actinopteri; Anabantiformes; Osphronemidae. The record is from RNAcentral.
AAUAGAUGCAGCGUAGCUCACAUCACUGACUGAACUGAUGCCCUGUAGCCUGAGAGCCUCGUGUCAGAGAGACUCUGUGUUUUCUUCGUAACAGACGGAGGACACAACAAUGUUAGGUAAGUUCAAAACAUUUUCUGAAAUUAUAUUUAUGUUGUCAAACAUUUACCUAAUGUCCUUAAACUGUACAGAUAUUUGUAAACCCUGUAAAAAUAAAGAAAACAGUAAAAGCUAAAUUACGUCUUCAGCGCGUCACAAAUAUGGCAUAAAUACAGGUGAGUUAUUAAAUAAAUAGGUGGAGUACUGUAAUGUGUAUGCAUUCAUGGUAUUAGUAUUUACAUAUACUGUAAUGUGUCAUUGAGUUUAUCUACACCCUGACUUGUUGAAAGGCCUUUAACCAAGUAUUUGUUUUAGUGACAUAAAUGCUACUGUAGCUGUUUCACAUGUUGACAUUUUCUGGUUUGUUAAGUUGACAUUUGAUCUACUGACACAAGUCCUAUAAGAAAAUGUAUAUAUCAGAUGUUGACCACAUCUACAGUAGCUGAACCUGUUUCACGCUAUUUCAUGAAAUACUCAGCUUACCUUAAAGACCAGAAGCGCAUCUUAAAGUAAGUUUAUUACCACCAGUGUAACAGCGUUGGUGUUUGAAAUGUUUGAUCUUUCCAGUGGGAAUUUAGUGGGAAUUUCCAAAAACUCGUGGUUCGAUCUGAUAAAGAUUUAAGACAGAAAUGUCACCGUUUUUUUAUUAUUUUACUAACUUGUCCUUUGUGUUUUGUCUUUUAGAUUGUAAUCUAAUAGUUCCGGUCGUGGUCCUGUCUCUGGCAUUGCUCCUCUCUCUUUGUCUCAAUGUCGUAUUCUACGUUAAACGUAGAGCUUUCUGCAGAGAUAAAGAUAACUGCUGCUCAUCGCACAACUUUGAAGAAGAAAGCCUUACUCAGGCAGAUGAGCAUUACUUUCAUGACCUCGUGAAUCAUCAUGAGCAGCAGGAAAAUCCCCACGAUUAUCACGAACAGCUGGAAAAUCCAAUCUACGGUAACAUCAGCGUAGACAGAAGAGAGCCUUGUUACGAGACGAUGACGAAGCAGAAAACAAGAGAUGGUCUGACGGUAACGGCUGCGAUUCCAUCCUUUUAUUAUUAUCUGGAUGUUUGAUGAUGUACAUUAAGUGUUUAAACGUCCUCACGUCUUUUUUAUGUGACUUUGUCACGGCCAGUAUAGUUUUAGUUGUUUAGCACACUUCAUUAGCAGGUUUAGGGCCUAACAGCGUUGGGGAAUAGAGAAACAAAUAUUUUUUUUCAACCAAAUAAUGGUAUAAUUUUUUUAUGGAUUGUGCUCAACUUAAACAUAUUUGCUUUAGUUUCAUUGUUCAAUCACACGAAGAGGAUCUUUCUUGUAUCCACGGUAGCUCCACCCGUGCUCAUGACUUUGUUUUCGAAACGGAAGGUAGCUAACACCAUAGACGCACUGUGGUUGAAGCAGCCCCGAACCAUUGAACACAAUUAAGCACAAACUGUUCUAUAAAUAAACCAGAUGUACAGA